Molecule: ribosomal RNA, 517 nt
Filed under: uncultured bacterium
Lineage: Bacteria
Description: bacterial SSU rRNA
Rfam family: Bacterial small subunit ribosomal RNA
Source: RNAcentral
GAACGCUGGCGGCGUGCCUAAUACAUGCAAGUCGAACGCACUCUCGUUUAGAUUGAAGGAGCUUGCUCCUGAUUGAUAAACAUUUGAGUGAGUGGCGGACGGGUGAGUAACACGUGGGUAACCUGCCCUAAAGUGGGGGAUAACAUUUGGAAACAGAUGCUAAUACCGCAUAAAACCUAACACCGCAUGGUGUAGGGUUGAAAGAUGGUUUCGGCUAUCACUUUAGGAUGGACCCGCGGUGCAUUAGUUAGUUGGUGAGGUAAAGGCUUACCAAGACCGUGAUGCAUAGCCGACCUGAGAGGGUAAUCGGCCACACUGGGACUGAGACACGGCCCAGACUCCUACGGGAGGCAGCAGUAGGGAAUCUUCCACAAUGGACGAAAGUCUGAUGGAGCAACGCCGCGUGAGUGAAGAAGGUUUUCGGAUCGUAAAACUCUGUUGUUGGAGAAGAAUGUAUCUGAUAGUAACUGAUCAGGUAGUGACGGUAUCCAACCAGAAAGCCACGGCUAACUACGUG